CCAAAAAUCCCCCGAGUAUCAUGUGUUUUUGAAUGAUCUUCCUGGGAAUGACUUCAACACCAUUUUCAGGUCCUUGUCCAUCUUCCAGAACAAACUGAGGGAGCAACUUGAACCCGGUAUUGGGCCAUGUUUUUUCACUGGAGUACCUGGUUCUUUCUACGGAAGGCUUUUCAGGAAAAACUGCCUUCGUUUUGUACACUCUUCCUAUAGUCUGCAAUGGCUCUCUCAGGUUUAGUUUAUAUAUUAAUGAAGUAUAGUCUAAUAUAAUAUAUCUGUAAUCACUUUAGAAUGAAAAAGAGCUUGUAAUUUAUGAGUGGACUAUUUUGAUUUGAUCCAGGUUCCUCAAGGGCUGGAAAGUAAUAAAGGGAACAUUUACAUGGCUAGCACAAGUCCACCAAACGUGCUUAAGGCUUACUAUGAGCAAUUUCAACAGGAUUUUUCCUUGUUUUUAAAGUGUAGGUCAGAGGAACUGGUGGAUGGAGGGCGCAUGGUUUUGACAUUUUUAGGGAGAAGAAAUGAUGACCCUUCAAGCAAAGAGUGUUGUUACAUUUGGGAGCUUUUGGCCAUGGCUCUCAAUGAUAUGGUCCUUGAGGUAUAGAAUGAAUAAUUCUACUCACCGUUGCUGGGAUUUGAAACAUACAUUUGCAGGAUAGGAUACAAUCUUUUAAAGAUAACUAAAUGAAUCAAUCAAAUUUAGGUUAUUCCAUCAGGGAUAGUUAUCAAUUGGACACUAGUUGAUAUUAUCUAUAGAUUUGAGCCACCCCACCUACCUACGUAUCAUAUCAUUUCCCAAAACUGAAAAUCUGAUAUUGACUGGCCCAUAAACUAGUAAACUAGGGAGUUAAUUCCCUAAAGUAUAUUUUGCUGCAUAUAUAUAUAAAGUUGAUAAACUAGAUAUUAAUUAGAUAAUAAAGAAAACAUGAAAUAAAUGCAGGGAGUGAUAGAAGAAGAGAAACUGAACAGCUUCAACAUCCCACAAUACACACCAUCUCCAGCAGAGGUUAAAUAUGAGGUUGAGAAGGAAGGGUCGUUCAGCAUCGAUCAAUUGGAAGUAACUGAAGUGAAUUGGAACGCUUAUCAGAACGAAACUGACUUAUCUGAUGCAUUCAAGGAUGGUGGGUACAACGUCGCCAAGUGCAUGAGAGCUGUGGCUGAACCACUGCUUUUCAGCCACUUUGGUGAAGCAAUCAUCGAUGAAGUGUUUCGAAGGUACAGAGAAAUUGUUGCUGAUCCCAUGUCCAAAGAGAAGACUGAGUUUAUCAAUGUCAUUGUUUCUCUUAAAAAAGCUUGAUUAUUAUGUCAUCAGUGGUUAUCUAGCGUGGAACCCCCACCACCACCACAAAACCAAUCAAUAUUAUAUGGUACAAAUGAACUGUGCUACGGCACUGUUAUCCAAUCAAGAAUAAUUCCAUGCUUGCGAGUUGUUUGUAAAAUUUUACCACUCUUUAUUUUUAAUUUCUAAAUACAUCAAAAUAAUAAAAUUUACAAACCAAUACCUAAAAUUACAAAGUCAAAGUUGACAAAUUAUCAGUUUUCUUUCUGUUUUCAAUGUCAAAAGUUUUAUAAUAGCCACCACCUCAUAAAUUAAGGAAAAGAAAAGACAUUUUCAAUUCCAAUGUAUAUUCAUCCAAGGAAACAACAAAAGUUCUAAAAUAUAGUUAAUAUAGACCCUAUAUAUCUAUGCAGGAUAAAAAAAAUUACCUAUUCCAAAAUGUUAAAAAUUUAUUCUUAAUGCUAUUAAUUUUGUAGAAUUUAAGAAAAUUGAAAUUGUUUUUUUAACAAGGUGACAGUGAAGUUGAUGAAUUUGCAAUUUUGAUGUUAUUUGAAAUUUAUUGGUUAAAAAAGAAAAUGCGUCAUAUAGGGCGCACUUUCAACCAUGUCAGCUGAACACGCAUUUUCAUUAAAAAUUGACAAUUUAAUUUUUUUGGUCAGAUGGUUAAAUGUUGGUGUAUUUUGUCGUUGAGCCACUGUUCGAUUCCUCUUCUACUCACAUUUGUAUUUUUUAUUUCAUUUUAUUUUAAGCUUUUUUUAAUUAAUAUUUUUGACAUAUUAACUCUUUUUAUUUCAUGUUGUUUCAAGCUUUUUUAUUUAUUUUUAAUUAAUUUUUAUAAUUAAUAAAUAUAUUGUUUUUAAAAAAAAUUUUGUGCUACUAUAUAAUGCAUAUAUGGUUAACCAUGGAUCAUACCAAUAAAAUUACUUCUUUUCAAUUUGAAUGGAAAUAGGAACAUUAAUAAAAAUAUUAUUGAAAAUAAAAAAAGGAACUCCCUUAUAGCACCAAACCAAAAAAAAAAAAUAUUGGAUUAGAGAAUCGAAAUCAAGAAGAAAAAGAACCUAUUGGUGAAGGGGGUCUUGUACCAUAUGCACAAAAAUAAGGAAAUUUUUUUAAAAAAAAUUGAAAACAAUAUAUUUAUUAAUUAUAAACAUUAAUUAAAAAUAAAAAUAAAAAUAAAAAAAAGCUUGAAACAACUUGGAAUAAAAAUAGAAUAUUAAAAUGCUUACAAGAGGAAUUGAACUUGGGACUUAAGAAUGAAAUCACAAUUAUCUAACCAUCUAACCAAAAAAACCAAUAUGUCAAAAAUAUUAAUUAAAAACAAAAAAAGAGAGAGCUUAAAACAACAUGAAAUAAAAAUAAAAAUGUGAGGGAGAGGAAUUGAACCUAAAAUUGAAGGACAAAAACACUAACACUUAACCAUUUGAUAAAAAAAAAACUAAAUUACCAAUUUUUAGUGAAAAUAUAUCUUGUAAGACGCAUUUUCAACUGAUGUGAUUCAAAGCGCGCCCUUUAAUAUGUGUUUUUAUUGACAUGAUAGAUAAGACGCGUUUUUCUUUUUUCUUAAAAAAUAGUCAUCAACAUACUUUUAAAUAUUAUCCAUGAUAAAUGAGACCUAGUUAAAUGAAAAUGUGACACAUUUUAGAUGACAUAUAAGCUAAGUAUUAUUAUUAUUUAAAUUUGGUUUCGUGUAAAAUGUAAAUAAACCUAAUUGCAGCACAUAAGGUAAGAAUGAAUAGUUUUUGUUAAUGAAAUAAGUACAGAAAAUUAUUACUUUAGUUCCAUGUUUAAGUAAUUAUAUAGAUGAAGUCCACGUAGUGUUAAAAUUCAACUACUUUAUAAAUAAUUUAAUGUAAUACCAAAGCAAAGCUAUUAUGUAGUACGUCAUUUAAAUAACGCUAUUAAUAUGACGCCUGCGUUAAUGACAUGUUAUCCGGAGAUAAUAUUUUAAUAAAUUAACGGAGAACAGUAACAUUUAUUUUAUUUUAUUUUUCUUCAAUCCAAGAAUUUGCCUAUGCUGUGUCUGAACUUAAUCUUCUCACCAAAGAAAUGAUUCUUAUUUUGCAGUUUAUAGAAAAAACUGUAACACCUCUUACCCGAGACCAUUGCCGGAAUAGAGCACGAUAUGUCAUCUAACUUAACUUACUAGUUCAGAGUAUAAAAAUUUGCUUUUAAAAUUAAUUUCACUGUUCACAACAAAACUGUCCACCUGCGCGACUGUCACUAAUUUAAUUAUAACUUGAGUUACGAAACUCGAAAUUUAAAUCCGUAAAUUUUUCCUGAAACUAGACUCAUAUACCUUCUUUCCAUAAAAUUUUCAGAAUUUUUGACUUAACCAAUUAGUACAGUUUAUUCAUUAAAGUCUCCCCUGUUUCACAGUUCGACAGUUCUGUCCUCUUGGCACUAAAAAUCAAUUAUCUCAUUGUACAGAAUUCAUAUAAUGUUAUCGUUUGUUUCUUUUGAAAAUAGACUCACUAAAUCAUAUUUCAUGCUUAUAACAGCCCUCAAUUUCACAAAAUCACAAUUUUAUGCAUAUUUAACUAUCUUUCACGAUUUAGUCCUUUUUCAACAUUUUCAUCAAAAUUCAUCUAGUAAAACUUGUAAUUAGCACUUCAAACAUUUAUUAUCUAACAUCACUUAUCAAAUUACAACUAUAUCAUGAAUGAGUCCAUUUUUAAACUUUAAUUUCAUUUAAAAUAAAUGGUAGAAACAUGAAAUUCAAGCUUCAAUAAGCAUAAAAAUACGAAAAUAAUUAAAAACGGGGCAAGAAAUCACUUACAAUUGAGCUUAGAAAAAUCAAGAACCCUAGCUUAUAUAACAUGAAAGUUUCGCAGCGACUCUUUAAUUUUGAAGAAGAUGGACACUUAUUUUCACUUUAUUUUGUCUUUUAUUCACCUUUGACAAAAAUACCCUUGACCAUUUACUUAGAUAUUUUUCUAGAAUUACCCUUUUGUGUCCAUAACACUAAUUUAUGGUCUAUUUUACAUAAACACUUCCAAUUUCAUGCAAUAAUUCAAUUAAGUCAUUUAAUCACUAAUUAGACACACUUUGCAUUUUUCUCAAUUUAGUCCUAAAAAUUCAAUUAGGCACUAAAUCAUUAAAAUAUCCUAUCCAUAUUUUUCACACAAUAUUUCAAUCAAUCAGUAAUGAAUAAAAAUUUAUAAAAUUAAACUAUUUCACUUCGGAUUUGUGGCUACGAAAUCACGAUUCCGAUUAGGCCCUAUUUCGGGCUAUCACAAAAACAAAUUAAGUUUAAAAAAAAAACAAAAGGGUAAACUAGACCCAAUUAUUAAUAAUUCAUUUGUCAAAGCUUCAAAAUAGUCACACAACUAUUUAUUUUUGUCUUUUUUAGUCACCAGCUGAUUAAUAGUAACGUCUUUUAAAAUUGGUAUAAUAGUAACUUUAUCCCUCAAUAUUUAUACAUUUUGUUAACCAAUUCUUAAUUCUAAAAAAUAUAACCCUUAGUUUAUACAAAUUAUGUAAUUUGGGUAGUUCUAGACAUUAUAUAUAUAAAAAAUAACCACUAUAUAAAUAAUUGGCUUAACUAUAAUCAAUAAAAAGCCCUCAGUAAAAAAAAUAAUUAAAAUCUAUUGAGUUCUUAUGAAAAAAGUUCACCUAAUUGAGCCAUCAGUGACAAAAAAAUACCGACUUCUUUUGUUAAUGGAAACUAUCAGUUGACCGGUUUGAUCGUUAACCAUAUCGGUGUGGCUAAUGAAAGUCAUUAGAAGCUGCCACGUAGCAGUAUGUUGAUGAGGCCUGACAGGUCAGCAAAAUAUGAAAAUAAUUCUUUUAAAAAAUAAUAAAAAUUAAAUUUAGACAAAUGAUUGCUUAAAAAUUAAAAAAAUCCAAAAAUUAUAAACAAAAUUAUUAAUAAUUAUUUAAGAAUUCGAAGAUAUUAUAAAAAUAAAAUAUGGAAAAAAUUCAAAAAAAAAUUUAAAAACUUAUUUUAAAAAAGCUAAUAAAAAUAUGCAUUCAGAAUGUACAAAAACAAAUGGUUGUUUAGGUUUUACUGAAGUUGGGAUAAUUAAUUUUCUAGAUUCAUUAUAGAUGAGUUUAAAAUUAGAAAAAAAAAUUAGAAAAUCUAAAAAAUAUUAAUAAUUAUUGAAAAUUUUUAAAAAUUAAAAAUGUGAAAAAAACAAAAAAAAUAAUUGAUGUUUUAAAAAUUAUUUGAUUUUUUUACAAUUAUAAAAUCUUUCGUCCAUAUUCCAAUGCAUUGUCUAAUCCUAUUUUUUUUUAAAUCAGGGCAAAAUACCAAAAAAGCCAAUUUUUUUAAAUUUACCGAAAUGGGCCUGGUAUUUUAUUAUUUACCGGAAUGGGCCCUUUUCCCCUAAAUCGCGUCCACAUCAGCACGAUGUCAGGAAAUCGCGUCCACGUCAGCACGCUUUGCUAACAUGGCAACAAAUCGCGUCUUCUGAAGCGCGAUUUGUGUCCACGUCAGUAAAGUGCGCUGACGUGGACGCGAUUUCCUGGCAUGUAGCGUGCCCCUGGGGACGCGAUUUCGCCGUGUUUCCCACCUUAGGGUUUUUAGGGUUUAUGGAGAAAAAAGUAAACAAAUAAGGGAUUAAGGUUUAGGGUUUCAUAAUUAAAUUAAUUAAAAUUUAUUCAAAAUUAGAUUACGUUUCGUGUUUAUGGGUUUUUAAGAUAAAAUCAAAGCAGGAUGAUUUAUCAGAAGGAUUUUUGAAGUUGCGCCUACGUGUACACGCUUUUGCUACAGUAGGUCCUGAAAAAAUAAUUUCGAGUUGACGUUUCUGAGAAAAUAGUUAAAAAAAUGCUUCAAGCAGGAUGCUUUAUGAGAAGAAUUUAUGAAAUCCCGCCCUCGUGGACGUGCUUUUGCUAUAGUUGGUCCUGGAAGAAAUAAUUUCGAGUUUACGUUUUUGAACAAAUAGUUUAAAAAAACGCUUCAAGUAGGAUGCUUUAUAAGAAGAAUUUGUGAAGUCGUGCCCACGUGGACGCGCUUUUGCUAUAGUAGGUCCUGAAAAAAUAAUUUUGAAUUGACGUUUCUGAGCAAAUAGUAUAAAACAACGCUGUAAGCAGCAUGCUAUUUGAGAAGAAUUUGUGAAAUCGCGCCCUUGUGGACGCACUUUUGCUACAGUAGGUCCUGGAAAAAUAAUUUUGACUUGACGUUUCUGAGUAAAUAGUAUAAAAUCGCUUCUAGCAGGAUGCUUUAUGAGAAGAAUUUGUGAAAUUGCGCCCACGUGGACGCGCUUUUGCUACAGUAGCAUGUUUAGGCUGAGGCUAUAAAUGAGGCAAAAAAGGUUCUGAGAUUGCAUAAGUCACAGCAGAAACAAUUUAGAGAGGCUAAGAAGGUUAGAGUUUCAAAUAUGAGUGAACGUAUUAGUGUUGUUAUUUACUACGAUGAUGAGGUUUGCCACACCGAGAAUGGUGUUAUUUUUUUGUCGGAGAAUACGGUGCGACUGGUUUUUAACCAGAACAUAGAUUUGACAGAACUUCGUAAAAUAAUUAGGCAUAAAAUUUUCGGAACGACGCCAAUGAAAGUUUUUGUUUAUUACGUAUCGAUUCUGUUCCUUUGUUGAUCCGGUGACAUAUGACUCGUUUGACAUAAAAGGUACUCGCAGCUUGGAGGCAAUUGUGCAGACUCAUCUUGCUAGUGGAGCACCUUAUAUUGAGUUAUAUGUACAAUUUACAUCGCCAAAUGAUGUACUUGCGACCGGUGUUCGAGAUGUAUACACGACCCCUGGCCGACAGUCGGUUAGCGGGUUAAAAAACACGGAACAACCCAUAUUUGGUAGCUGUGUUGAAUGCACAUCCCCCGCAAGACACUCUGUCGGUGGAUGGGACAUGUACGUCGGUGACUCGAUGUUUGAUGCUGGAAAUACGUACUAUGGAACGGCAUCAAGUUCUAGUGGUUGGGAAUCUACAUCCAAUUGGGGACGUUAUGAAAUGCCUAGAAGAAGGGAUGAUGUACUCCCUACGACGUCAACCAGUGAGGGGACAUUGUACGCUGCAGAUGAUUGUGGGUUAGAAGAUGACUCCGAUGUGGAUCCACCUCGAGAGCCCAGGCCCGAUGGUGCAGAAAUUGGCUUAUUUUCUGAACCGAAGCCUAUUCCAAUAGAACCUGAAGAUGCUAAAAGGAGUUCAGAUGAAGAAGAAAAUCUACGAUUCAGAGCAUACUCACCUCCAACCCACAUGCAUAAUGUCGAUCUGCCUGCAGAUGAUGCGUUAGAGUUUCCAGAUCUACCACAUCGGUUGUGUGAUCGUACAAGUUGAGGGCUAGAUUCGGGUGAAUUUAAAGUUGGUAAUCAGUUUACCAAAACGGAUAGUUUUAUUGGUUCUUUGAAACAACAUAACAUCAAAAAUGGUGUUAACUACCACGUCGUUAAAUCUAAAUUUGAUAAGUUUGAGGCGAAGUGUGCGGUGCAAGACGGCACAUGUUUAUGGAAAAUCUACGCUUCGUUAAGGAAAAGGACAGAGUUGUGGGAGAUUAAAAAGUACAAAGGUCCACAUACAUGUGUUGCAGGUACAGUAUUGACGAUAUCUGAAUAAUACUUUUAUUAUGUAAUGUUACAUUAUUUAAUGUACUCUGUUUAUAAGUGUUUCACAAGAUCAUCCGAAGAUGGAUUCAGCUAUGUUAGCUAACUUGAUACUGCCCACGGUAAAAGCAGAUCCCAGGACUUCAGUGUCGGUGUUAAUUGCCAAUAUUCGUAGCCAAAUAGGGUAUACGCCCUCUUACCGCAAGGCUUGGAUAGCUAAGCAAAAGGUGUUGGAGAAGAUGCAUAGUGGGUGGGACGCCUCAUAUAAUGAAAUAUGGCAGUGGUGUCAAAUGCUAGAGAGAUACGUCCCAAGUGCCAUCACAGACCUUGAAACGGAACGCGCGUACUACAACGACCGAUUACUACGUGGAUACCAAGUGUUCAAACGCCUGUUUUGGACCUUUAAGCAAUGUCGAGAUGCAUUUCCAUACUGCAAGCCAUUGGUACAAAUUGACGGUACCUUUAUGUUUGGUAGGUAUACUCAUCGGCUAUUGCUUACGGUGGCACAGGAUGGCGGUGGGAGAAUUCUUCCAAUUCCAUUUGUAAUAACACCGGGGGAGUCGUCUGAUGACUGUGAUUUCUUUCUCUCUAGGUUAAUGAGGCAUGUGUGCUCCCAACCUGAUAUCUGUGUUAUUUCAAAUCGGGGCGCCGGUAUACUAGCUACAUUUGAUCGACAGGAAAGCUUAUGGCAGCACACACACCAUCGAUAUUGCCUAAGACACGUUGCUUCCAACUACUACAGGAAAUAUUCAUCUAAGAGCGAACGACAACAAGUGACCAACAUGGGUAUUUAGUCUAUAUCUGUGUUAUUUCGUUUCUCAAUUUGAAUUAGUUUUAUUGGUAGAAGUGGUAUGUAAUAUUCCCUAUGAACUUAUAUUGGCAGGGUAUGAAAUAAAUAAAGACCGUUUUCACGAGAUGUUGGCAACUUUACGUUUAAUUAACGGAGAAGGGGCGGACUACCUUUGUAACAUACGUUUCGAACAGUGGGCACAAGCAUACGACGGCGGCCUACAAUAUGACCAUAUGACGUCAAACCUGGCUGAAUGCAUAAAUUCUGUUCUUAAAGGAACGCGUCAUCUACCGAUAACAUCUGUUGUGCGAGAGACAUAUUUUCGUUUGACGGCGCUAUUUCCAAAGCGAGCAGCAAGUUAUACAGACCAGAUGUAGGGAGGACAUGUAUGGUGCAGUAAGGUAGUUCAAGAAAUUAACAAGGCCAAGGCGCGGGCAAACACCAUGCACACAGUGUGUCACGAUUAAGACAGCUUAUGGUUUCGUGUGACAAAGUUUGACAGGCCGCACAAAGGUGUUGGUGGCGGGCAAUAUCGUGUACACUUGCGAAAUAGGACUUGCGACUGUGGGAUGUUUGAUGCACUUCGUUAUCCAUGCCCUCAUGUUAUUGCAGCUUGUCAGAAUCUCCGUCUGGAUCCGAUGAGUUAUGUAGACGAAGUGUACAAAUUAGAAAACAUGUACAAUGUUUGGAGACACGUUUUUCCACCGGUCCCAGAUGAACGUAAGUGGCCGCCCGUAUCUCUUGUUCCUUUUAAGCUGUUACCAAAUAGAGAAUUACGUCGCAAACCAAAGGGUCGACCUUGCUCGACUAGAAUACGUAACAAUAUGGAUAUCCGAGAAACAGCCAGUUAACAGAAGUUGUGCGGAUGGUGUAGGAAUCCAGGCCAUACAAGUCGAUCAUGCCCUAAUCGCAAUAAUUGAAUGUAAUUUUAAAAAAAUAUAUAUUUUUUCAAUUAUUAAUUGAUAAUUGUAUUAGUUGUUAGUAAAAUUAUAAAAUUAUAUCAAAUUAUUAAUUAUUAGUACCAGUCAAAUUUUUUUCCAAAUCUAACAUUAUGUGAAUGUAAAAUUAUUAACUGAUAAUUGUAUUAAUGUUAGUAAAAUUAUCAAAUUAGAUUUAAGUUAAGGGUUAGGGUUUUUAAUUUAAGGGUUUAGAGUUUUAAAGUUAAGGGUUAGGGUUUUUAAGUUAAGGGUUAGGGUUUUUAGGUUAAGGGUUUAUGGAUUUUAAGUUAAGGGUUUAGGGUUUUAAAGUUAAUAGUUAGGGUUUUUAGGCUAAGGGGUUAGGAUUUUUAAGUUAAGGGUUUAGAGUUUUUAGGUUAAAGAUUUAGGGUUUUUAAUUUAAGGGUUAGGGUUAGGGUUUUUAGGUUAAGGGUUUAAGGUUUUGUCAAUUAAAUUAUGCAUUUAAUUAUAAUUUAUAAAUUUUUAAUAAGUUAAGGGUUUAGGGUUUUUAAGUAAUAACUCAAAAAAAUUUCUAUUUUAUUACAUCAAAAAAUAUCAAAAUAUUCAAAAUAUUUGUACAAAUAAAUUUAAAUACAAAAAUCAAUGUCUGUGCCUGCGGGAUUCAGUGCCACAUGGCAGCCGUCGAUGGUUACGCGCUAGAUUCCUCAUUUGUCCAGCUUCUGGCGGUGGUUGUGGUUCUUCCGGCGGGGAUUCUGGUUCUUCCAGUAGGGCAUCUGGUUGUCAGAGUUGGGACGAUGAGCCACAUUGAUAGAAUUGUGAAUGUGGAGGUGUUUGCAUCACCAAUGGCGACGGUGUUUAAAACCCAUACGGUGGUAGGGAUUGGUAAAAAAAAGAGCUCCCUGACAGCCCCUCUUGCGAUCCCUCGUGCGUCGCUGGCCUAUACAUCGGCGGUCCACUCGGCGUAACAGAAAAUGGAGCUGAACCGGGCCAUUGGCUCUAACCUGCCAUAGGACUCGAAAAAGGAAACAUAUAAGGGUUAGGAUACAUAAAAGGGCUAGGAAAUGCUCCUGGCAUCAUCUGAAAAGGCAGUUGCGUGGGUAUCAUCGGUUGAACUGCUGGGUCGGGUGAUUGUGUCGGUACUCUCGUUGGGCCGGGUGAAUGUCUAAGCAUCGUUGACGGGCCAGCGUCGUCGUCCUGUCGUCUUGGAUUUAAAGGCCCGCGUCUUUCCCUUUGGACACGUAAUUGCCGCUGCCUCUCCUUUGGCGAUAGUAAAUACGACUUGCCAUAGAGCCUAAACCAUGGUAUAUAUUCCGGCAAGCACACUAACUCCGGAACGACGAUCGGUUCUAUACUAGGUAUAUAGUCAUACCAAUCUUCCCACAUUUGGAUGUACUCGGACCAGAAUCUCGGCCAAUCCGUAUUCAAUUGCCGAAGGUCAAUUUUGUGGUGAUCGUUAAACACCUCAAGUUCCACGGGAAUCGGUUGUCUACAUCCAAAUUACCGUAACACCCUGUCUAAUUGGUGCAUCUCCACGGUCGCGUAGUUGAUCAACGCGACUUUCGCUUGCCAAAUUUUGUAAGAACUCAUCCAGAAUUACUGCCCGAAUUGCCGAAUCCUCGUAUGGUGUCCAUUGAAACUAUAUGAACAUGAUAGAAUAUUAGUUAUAUACAUAAUACUAAAUACUAAAUACCAAUCGACUAGCGAAUGAUGGAAAUAUCAAUUUUAUUUAAUACUUACAUGUGCUUCCGACUGUUGGUCUAAUAGAAGCCGUAUAUCUUCAAGAGAGGUAGGUAAUCGAGCAUGACUUGCCGGAUGGUUCCACCUAAUUAAAUAAAAUUUUAACAUAGUUUUAUUUUUAAAAAUCUACAUAAUAAUUGUAAAAUCUAAUAUAAAAUUUACCUCGUUAUGAGUGGGACUGUAUAUGGGUGGUCCACUCGAUGACGUAGAAAUGGAAAGCGAAACCGUGCCCAUGACUGCAGUACUGACAGGCAACCUCUGAUUUUUUCUUUCCUCAGUCGCGUCGCCCGCACAUCUCCCGAUAUAACGUUGUCAAGACGGCAGACCCCCAACUCAAUUCACCAGCUGCUCUAAAAUUAACGAGUUUCAGCAGUCAUUUUAGAUGUACAUGGCUCCGUGACAAGUCCGGCAUCAGAUAGCCUCUAAUUAACUGAAGAAUGUAUGUCCGAGCAUAUCGGAUUCUUUCUAUUUCGGUUGAAUCUUCAUUUGGAUCCGGAAAUGUGUCUCGCAACCAGCCCAUCUCGAUCUUACCUCUGUCCAUUUUCUUCGGAAUAGCGCCCAAAAGCUCGUAGCAUACCGCAAGUCAAUCGCUAGAUUGGGCAGACCCGGUGACUGGGUACCCGUCCACCGGUAAUCCCAAUUGCAGACUGACAUCUUCCAAAGUGAUAGUGCACUCUCCACAUGGAGGAUGGAAUGUGUGCGUCUCGGGUCUCCACCUCUCGAUCAACGAACUGAUUAGUUUCGGGUCCACCUUGCAUCCCCGGCCUACCGUCGCCACGUGCCAAAAACCCGCUUCCCGCAGGUAGUUCUCUACCAACGGUGAUGGAGGACCAUGCAUAUUUCGGAUAUUGCAUUCCAAUAUCCGAUCUACAGACUUUUAUAACAAAUAAUAAAUUAAUAAUUAUCUAAAAAUGCAUAAAUAAAAAAUUCUUAAAUAAUAUUUAAAAAUUAAAUUUAAUGCUUACCAUUUUCAUUUGUUCCACCGAUAUGUGAUGCUUAUCAAGACGAGUCAAUUCUCCGGCCAUUGCUGAAAUCGUACAAAUUUUUACGGUUUAAAAAAUUUUAAAAAUAAUUUUUUUUAAAAUUAUUUAAAAAUAGGGAUUUAAGUGAAAUUUAAGAGGAACUUGAGAGCAAAUUGAAAAUAAAUAUGGAUUUGAGAGAAAUUUUGAAGGAACUUGAGAGCAGAUUGAGAGGAAAUUUAGAAGAAAUUGAGAGGAAAUUUGAGAGAUGAUUAGUUUGUGAAAAAAAAAAGGAGUGGGAGGUAUUUAUAGUUUUUUUUUUUUACCAUUGGGGGGGCAACGGUCAAAAAAUUGACAGUUGCACUAUUCACGCGCGGGGCAAAUCGCGUCCAUGUCAGCGCGCUUUGCUGACGUGGACACAAAUCGCGCUUCAGAGGAUGCGAUUUGUUGCCAUGUCAGUAAAGCGCACUUACGUGGCCGCGAUUUCCUGGCACGUCCCCUGACAUCGCGCUGACGUGGACGCGAUUUAGGGGAAAAGGGCCCAUUCCGAUAAAUAAUAAAAUACCGGGCCCAUUUCGGUAAAUUUAAAAAAAAUUAGACUUUUAAUGGUAAAUUGCCCAAAAAAAUCUAUGCUUUAGCCUAAAAUUUUUAGUUAUAAUCUUUCAAAACUUUUAGUUUCUUAUAUAAAUAUAUAUAAUUGUUGACUUAUUAAAUUGAAUUAAAAAUAAUUAUAUACAUUAAGAAUAAAUAAUAAAUAAUUUUUAUUUUUUACACAUUUGAAAAUUAUAUAUAUUUAUUAAAUUCUUAAUAAUUAUUUAUAAUUAUUAAUUUCUUUUUUUAAUUUCGUACUCAUCCAAAAUAUUCUAGAAAAUUAAUUGACUACGUUGAAAUGAAUCUGGAAAACUUUUGUCUAGAUUAUUUUAUAUGUAAUUUUUUGUUAAUUUUUAAAAGGUUUCCCUUUUAAAAUUAUUUUUAUUUUUCAAGUUAGUAUGCCACCAUAUGACAACUGGGUGGCUUCUGUAAACCACAAUUCAAUUGAUAACUUUGAUUAAUGAAAGGGGUCAAUUAAUUUUUUGAGUCACUAAACAUUUAAUUAAAUGUAUUUUUUUAUAAAAAUUCAAUUAAUUUUUAAAAUUUUCACCUUUUAACUUAAAUAAUUUAAUGUAAAAUCUAAGUAUGUAAAGCAAAGCUAUAUGUAGUACGUCAUUUAAAUAUCGUUAUUAAUAUGACACAUGCGUUUACGACAUGUUAGUAGUACUAAAGCCUUUGGGUAACUUUGUUGGAAAAGAUAAAAAAAGUUAAUAAAUUUUAAAUAAAUAAAUAUCAAAUAACAGGAGGCUAUUCAAUCAAAUGACAAAGACAUUGUUGAGAAAAAGAUGGCUUUUCCCGGAUGAAAUGAAAAUUGGAUUCAUGUAAGAGGAGAAAGGUUUCCCAUUACUUAGCCGGAAAGAUAUGUGGUCAUGAAAUAAGGAUUAAGUUUUAUAAAUCACAUUAUAUAGGCUGAUUGGUCUGAACUGCUUCAUCUUAAUAGGAUUAGCAACUUUUGGAAUGAGUACAAUGUGUGUAGAGUUUACCUGUUUGAAACCCUUAUCCUUGUUCAGUACUUGUAAGCAGAAAUUGGUAACAUCAUUUCCAACAAUGUGCCAACAUUUUUGAUAAAAUAAAGCUGGUAAUCCAUCUUCCUCUGGGGCUUUUAUAGGUCCCAUCUCAAACACUGCUGCUUUAAUCUCUUCCUUUGUGUAGAAAGCUAUAAGAAAUUGAUUAUUCUCCUCAAAAAUACAUCUAUGAAUUCCCGAUAGCAAAUGAUCACAACUUCCCCUUCUUUUUGUCGUAAAUAAAUUUUGGAAAUAGGAUCGUGCAAUGCCUUCAAUAUCAUGGAUGAUCUCCGCUUCUCUUCCUUCCUCGUCCUAUAAUUUGUGAAUCAGGUUCCUCCGUCUCCGUUGCAUGGCUUGACCGUGAAAGAAAGCAGUAUUCCUAUCUCCAUAUUUCAGCCAGUUUAUGCGCGCUCUCUGUUUCCAGUAGCAGUCAUCCUUAUCUAUUUCAAGAUUCAGUUGAAUCUUUGUGUCAAUUAACUCAACCAAAUUAGGAUCGUCUCUUUCAGCUGCUAAGAGUUUUGAUACCCUAUCUUUGAGAAAUGUCUUUAUCUUCUUCCGAUCAACUUGAGUCUGAAUAGCCCAACUCCUCAAACCAAGUUUUAGCCUAUCUAAUUUCUGCAUCAAAUUACCUGAUGAUGUCCCCCAGAUGUUUUUAACCUCUUCCUCGAACGAUUCCUCCAUUGUCCACCAGGCUUUAAAUUUAAAAGCUUUCUCCGUCACCCCUUGUGCUGCCUUCUUUGUAUUAACUAAAAGGGGGCAAUGAUCAGAGAAAGAAUGAGUAAGAUGUUGGAUAGUUACCUCAGGAAACAUGGCCAUCCAUUCUUCAUUUGCGACACCUCUAUCAAGCCUCUCGCGUAUAUUUGUCUCGGGUAAAUUUCCCCUCUCCCAUGUAAACCAUCUCCUAGAGAACCCCACAUCCACUAGAUUGCAAUCUGUUAGAACAUUGCGAAAUAACUCCAUUCUUCUUUCAUCUCUAGGUACUCCAACCAUCUUUUCAUAUCCGUACAAUAUUUCGUUGAAAUCACCACAAACAAACCACAAAACUCUUUCUCCAGAGUAUAAAUUUCUUAGCACAGCCCAAGAAUUAUUUCUAUCAUGUACAUAUGGGGACCCAUAAAAACCAGUAAACCUCCAUUUACCUCUUACAUCACUAUCGUCUAUCACCACAUCAAUAUGCCUUUUUGAGCACUGCCGUAACGUAACACACACCUCAGAUUUCCACGCCAAACAUAAUCCUCCUCUAGUACCUUCUGGAUCAACUUCUAUCCCAUUAACAUAUCCGCAACUGUACCGGAUCCUUUCCAUUUGAUUUUUACAUAUCUUUGUCUCCAUGAAGAAGAUCAUUUGGGGAUUCUGUAACUUCAGCAUAUACCGAAGUCUCCGUUUAAGUUUGCAAACUUUAAUGUUCAGAUUUGUUGAAUUUUCAAAUUUUGGGUAUUAUUCAUCAUGAAGAACACUUUACUCUUAGGAAAAAAACUAUACUCAUGCCUAUACUUACUGUUUUCAUGCUAUAUUUUUGUUCCAAAAUUCUUUCGUAUAGUGUGUUACAUAAUCAAAUAAAAUUAAGUUUAAAAUUUGAGGUUAUUCACUAAAUCUAAUUCGAUAAGCAUUCAUGUUAUUGUUAAUAUAAAAUAAAAUAAAAUAAAAUAAAUUCUAACGUGCUAAAACAUAUAUAUCUUUUUAUUUAAAAGUUGAAAAGUUAUCGGUUAAGUCUUAAUUUGAUUAGUUUAAGUAGUGUUGUCAAUGCAGAAGGACGUGAAUUUGAGUGCGUUGAAAUGUAUUAUCUUCUUAUUUAUGGGUUGAGAAGAAAUUAUGAAUAAUUCUAGAUAUUCUUAUGUCAAAAAAAUAAAAAUAAUAAAAACUGAAAAGUUAAAACUAGAUAUAGAAAGAAAAUUCCUGAGGCUGAAAUUAAGUUUGAUGGCAUUCGCUUGACAACCACGUUUCCUGUAAUUUAUGUCCUAUAAUGCAGUCUAAGUUGUGGGACCAAAACAUUAAAAUCAUAGCUGAUAUCCUCCACAAAUUUAAUCGGACAGUUUUAAUUUCCUUUUUCAUAUCUAAAAACGUUUUCAAUGAAAAAAAUUAAAAAAUGCGGAACUUAAAAUUAGAAUGUCAGAACCAUGUGUUGUUGUGAAUAAUUAUAAUUUUUUUUUCUCUUUUUCUUUAGUUUCUUUUUCCUGGUAGAUAUGAUUAUAUAUACAUAUAGAGAGAAAUGAUAAGUUUGUAUUAAUGAAAAACUAAAUUAAUUGUAUAUACGAAUUGUAUUUGUUAAUAUAUCAUACUCUACUUAUAUAGAUUGUAUAACGUUAAAGUUUUAGUGAAUUAAAAAUACUAAUUAUUUUAUAUAUAUAUAUAUAUAUAAUAUAAUAUAAAACUUUUGAUUGUUAGAUAUAUAUUAAAAAAUCAUUUAUUAAUCGAUGUGACAAAAAUAAUAAAAUUAAUUGCAAUUUUGUAUGUGUUAUAAUAACAAUUAUAUUGUUAAAUUCUAUCAUUAUUUUGGGUCGUGGGCGAGGUCAAUUUGAUUUAGGAAAUUUUUCUUGUAUUUUUCCUUAUAAAAAUCUGGUAAUUAGUAAAUAUUUGAAAUUGUGCCAAUAUAGUAAGCAGUGCAUCUGUUUGCGGUGAUACUAGUGUUUAACAAGGAGGAGAUGGUGGCCGUAGGGGUUUACAAUAAUUCACUCUUAUAGGGCAGAGAGUCAUAAAUGGAGGAGAUGAGGGAGAUUAGUAAUGGAGAUUAUUAAGGAGGAAAGGAGAUGCCCAUGGUCGAAAAGUAGAAUAGAGAAAGAACUAGAUGGGUCCAUAGGCCAAGUUAGGCCCGGCCCAACCAAAAUUUUAAGUCUAUUUGCUAGGCUCGGGCCCGGCUUGAAAAUGAGUUUAAAAUUUUGUCUAAGCCCAGCCUGAAUAAAAAUGCUAAAAUUUGGGUUCGACCAGGCCUGAUCGUAUUAAAUUUUUAUAUAAUUUUUUAAAAUUAUAUAUAAUAUAUCAAAAAUACUAAAAAUAUUAAAAUAAAUAUUUCUCAACAAAUUUAAAAUAAAUUAGAAAACAAUAUGUAUACUUAAACAACACUAAGAUAGGUGCAACUUAAUAAGCAAAUGCCUCUAAAAUUGAAACAAAAUUAACAAUAAAACAAGGGUCAUACAAUAUUCAAAUAAUAACAAUAAAAUAGUAGCAACAUAAUAUUUAAAUAGUAGCAAAAUAUUAAAAAAAGAAAAUACGAAGAAAAAAAUAAAAAAAUAGUAAGAAAGUAAUAAAAAAAUAGCAGUUUUUCUUCCAUAUUCGGUCCAGGCCAAAAAUGCCUUACCUGAGGUUCGACCCAUUUUCUAAUCGAGCCUUAUUUUUUUCCCAAACUCAUUUUUCAGACCUAUAUUUUUACCCAAACCCUCUCACUUUUUGAGCAGGUCUUUAGGCCGGGCCGAAUAACCUGACCCAUGAACAAGUCUAGAAAAAACCCUAAAAAAAUCCCUUUCCUGAUCUAAAUAUAUAUAUAAAGAUCUUUAGUGGGUCUUAGAGGUGCUCAUGGGUUGGGCGGCCCGGCCCGGCCCGAAGGCCCGCCCGAAAUUUGGGAGGGUUUAGGUAAAAAAAUAGGCCCAAAAUAUGGGCUCGGGCAAAAAAAUAGGCCCGUUUUAAAAACGGGUCGAGCCUCGGGUAAAAUUUUUUGGCUCGGGCCCGGCCCGGCCCGGAUCUAAAUAAUUUUUUUUAUUUUUAAAAUUUAUUAUUAGAAUUAACUUUCCCAAUUCCCCUCCCUAUUUCCCCGACACCCUUCCCUUUUUUUUCUUCAGAGACAAAUCCCUAAAUUCCCUUCCUUUUUUUCCCCCCAAAUCGGAAACCCACCUCGCCCGACCCACCAUUCCACCUCCAGUGACCGGUCCUCCAUGACUCCACCUUCGCUCUAAUGGUGCUUCCAGCGAAUCUAGCCUUCAACGUCUUCAAAGGUGAGUUAUCUGUUAACGGUUUCCUAAUUUUUUAACGUUUUCUCCCUUUUUUGCUUUUUGAUGUUGGUUGUGAUUUUGAUUUUGCUGUUAAUGCUGUUAAUGGUGUUCUGAUUUUAAUUUUGCUGUUAAUGCUGUUAAUGGUUGUGUUUUUUAUUUUUGCUGUUAAUGGUGUUCUGUUAAUGUUGUCAUAUUUAUGGCUUGAAGGUGUCCUGGCACAUAAAUGGUAUCAACACAAAAUGAGGUUGAGAAAAUGAGUUUAAGGCCAUCGAAAUUUUCAGUGUUUAAGCUAUGACGAACCAGUAACAAUGAAUGGAAAAUCUCAAACGAAUUGGAAUAUGAUGUUUGCUUAUUUAACUGUAAGUUUAUUUUUUUAUGAACUGUGAUCCUCUUUAUGAUAAAAAAAAGACACCUACUCAAGGGUAUUUCAUUGAAAUUAUUAUUAGAUUAUUCUAGCCAUUCUGAAAUGAGUUGUCUAAAAACCCAAUACAAACAUGUUACUGUAAUGAUGGUUCAAAGCACAUAUAUGUAGCAGAGAGUAGAUAAAACUUGGUCUGGUNNNNNNNNNNNNNNNNNNNNNNNNNNNNNNNNNNNNNNNNNNNNNNNNNNNNNNNNNNNNNNNNNNNNNNNNNNNNNNNNNNNNNNNNNNNNNNNNNNNNAAGAUCCUGGCAUAUCUGAUUAUAGUUUGUUUUAAUAUUAUAUUCUGGCAGGUUGGUGCCAGUACACAUCAUUCAUGCAUUAAUACAUGAUGCCUUAAGUCUUGAUUAAGCUCUUUGUGUGGAAAGAGCUAUGGAUUCCUAAUAUCGCUUAUUUUCUUGUUAACCUAGUCAUUCAGUUGCCUUAUAAUUUGCUAAGGAUGAAUCAUAUUAUAAAUCAAUUGUUAGAGUCUCAUGGACCUUCCUUUUAUGUCUUUGUUGUCACCUUCUUUUUCUUUUUUAUUAUUUCAAUUUUGAAAAGCUAAUGAAUUUUUAUUGGUAAUAAUGCAUUCUUACUACCACUGACUUGCAAGAGCUUUGUUUGCUUAUAUUUGGUAGCCUGAACUUUAUGUCAGUGUAGACACAAUCAUAAGUAGUUGAAACCUGAAGCUCAUUGCAUCCCUCGCAGGAAAAAAAUAUUUAUUUAAGCGGGGGCUGAAAUUUGUUCAUUUAUUUUCAUUUAACUAGUUCCAGCAUCAACUGAAUGAUUAAUUAAGAGAAAGCUAGGGAGUAAUACCAUUACAUUUAUGGUCUAAACAUUUGUUUGAGAUUUGUUUUCAUUCAUAUUCCAAUUCGUUAUGGUCCAAACGAAUUGGAAAAUCUCAAACGAACCGUUACAUUUGUUUUCAUUAGUUUGAUAUAGUAGUUGUGUUUGCUUUGUUGCUUUAUUUAAUCUCUUUUUUUUUUGUGUUUGCUUUGUUUUAUUGCAGAAACAAGCUAUUUAGUGAGGCAGAAAAAAUAGCAAGCCCAGGCAGGUUGCUACUAUCACUAUCUCACACCCUUUCCUUCAAAAUAGUCAACCUUAGCGACUUUUCAUUUGAAUUUUGUGUGUUCUUUUAGUAUUACUUAAAGACAUGUGACAAGUUUGAUCUUGUAUCACAAGGCUACUAGCAUAGUUAAAUAACUAGUUUAUUAUCUCAUGCAUAUAUGAGUUCGGUAUUAUACUAUUAUGUAUUAUGUAUAUGUAUUUAUUUUUAUANNNNNNNNNNNNNNNNNNNNNNNNNNNNNNNNNNNNNNNNNNNNNNNNNNNNNNNNNNNNNNNNNNNNNNNNNNNNNNNNNNNNNNNNNNNNNNNNNNNNNNNNNNNNNNNNNNNNNNNNNNNNNNNNNNNNNNNNNNNNNNNNNNNNNNNNNNNNNNNNNNNNNNNNNNNNNNNNNNNNNNNNNNNNNNNNNNNNNNNNNNNNNNNNNNNNNNNNNNNNNNNNNNNNNNNNNNNNNNNNNNNNNNNNNNNNNNNNNNNNNNNNNNNNNNNNNNNNNNNNNNNNNNNNNNNNNNNNNNNNNNNNNNNNNNNNNNNNNNNNNNNNNNNNNNNNNNNNNNNNNNNNNNNNNNNNNNNNNNNNNNNNNNNNNNNNNNNNNNNNNNNNNNNNNNNNNNNNNNNNNNNNNNNNNNNNNNNNNNNNNNNNNNNNNNNNNNNNNNNNNNNNNNNNNNNNNNNNNNNNNNNNNNNNNNNNNNNNNNNNNNNNNNNNNNNNNNNNNNNNNNNNNNNNNNNNNNNNNNNNNNNNNNNNNNNNNNNNNNNNNNNNNNNNNNNNNNNNNNNNNNNNNNNNNNNNNNNNNNNNNNNNNNNNNNNNNNNNNNNNNNNNNNNNNNNNNNNNNNNNNNNNNNNNNNNNNNNNNNNNNNNNNAAUUAUAUAUUCAAUAACCGAGUUAUAAAUAAUAUUAUUUUUGGAUUGCAGGACUUGAGUUUUAUGACUAUGGCUAGUUCAAACACUCCUAUACCUAUGGGUGAUGGGUUUAAUGAGUAUGAAAGUUCUCUCAAACGUCAAAAGUCUACCACUUCAAAGGUGUGGGAUGAAAUGACAAAGCUUGAAUGCGAGAACAAAAAUGAAUUGAAGGCACAAUGUAAUCACUGUAAGACUAUCUUCUCUACUAAAUCUUCUAGUGGAACCUCUCAUUUAAGAAGUCAUCUAAAUAGCUGUUUGAAAAAAGUUAAUAAGGACAUCACUCAAUACACCAUAGCCACUCAACCAUCACCCGAAGGUGUUCCAUCUAUAAAAAACUACAAGUUUGAUGCUGAUGAGUGUCGUAAAGCUAUUUCUACUUUUCUUGUGUGUGGCAAGCAUUCAUUUAGGACAAUUGAAGAACCGGGCUUUAGAUACAUGAUGAGAAUUGCUAGUCCUAAUUUUAAGAAUAUAAGUAGACAUACAGCUGCUACGGAUGUCCUAAUGUAUUAUGCAAAAGAGAGAGAUCGUGUUAAAGAAGAGUUGGCUAAAGCACCUAGUUUAGUUUGUCUAACUUCUGAUAAUUGGAACUCAGAGCAUACUAAUGAUGAAUAUAUUUGCAUUACUAUUCAUUGGGUUGACAAAGAUUGGAAGCUACAAAAGAGAAUCAUAAGGUUUAGAGCUUUAUUUCCUCCGUAUGAUGGUUUGAACAUAGCGGAUGAAUUUGUUUUAUGUUUAUCUCAAUGGGGUAUAGAUAAGAAAAUUUUUAGCAUCACUUUGGAUAAUGCUUCUUAUAAUGAUGUUAUGGUUUCUUGUCUUAAAAAUUGUUUUCGUGAAAACCGAGCUAUUUUGUGUGAUGGUGCUUUUUUUCAAGUUAGAUGUUGUGCACAUAUAUUGAAUCUCAUAGUUAAAGCUGGUUUGGUACUUGCUGAUGAUGUUGUUGGUAAGAUUCGAAAUGGAAUUAGGUACAUAAGAAAGUCGGGAAUUCGUAGGAAAAGAUUUUAUGAUGUGGCCGACAAAAGUUUUCAUUUGAAUGUGACCAAAAAGUUGCAUCAAGAUGUGUGUGUGAGAUGGAAUUCUACUUAUUUGAUGCUUGAAUCUUCUCUUUACUAUAAAGAUGUGCUAGAUUAUUGGGGCCAACGGGAUAAAGAUUAUCAAAUGUUUGCACUUUCUAACGAGGAGUGGAGAAAUGUUGUUAUUCUUUGCAAAUUUUUGAAAGUCUUUUAUGAUGUGACUUGUGUUUUUUCUGUUUCUAAUUAUCCAACGGCUAAUCUUUAUUUUAGAGGAGUUUGGAAGGUUCACAAGGUCUUGCUUGAUAUAGUUAAAGGUCCUUUUUCGNNNNNNNNNNNNNNNNNNNNNNNNNNNNNNNNNNNNNNNNNNNNNNNNNNNNNNNNNNNNNNNNNNNNNNNNNNNNNNNNNNNNNNNNNNNNNNNNNNNNUUGGGCUGAGUAUUCGUUGAUAUUGUCAUGUGCUGCAAUUUUAGAUCUUCGUUACAAGUUGAAUUAUGUGCAGUAUUACUUUAAUACAAUCUAUGGUAUUCAUGCUUCAGAUUUUGUUGAGACCAUUCUUAGCAAUCUUAGACUCUUGUUUGAUGAGUAUGUUAAGAAAUCCAAAUCAACGUCUUCCUCUUUGGCUGGGAGUUCUAAUGUUUCGGAUAAAAAUCCUGUUGAUUCUGGUUUAGAUGAACACAAUGAUAGUAGUGCUGAUUUUGGGGGAUAUUUUGAUGAGAGUGAUGAUUAUAAACGGUAUUUAAAUGAAUCUAGCACUAGGAGUGAGAAGUCACAGUUGGACAUUUAUUUGGAAGAACCGGAGCUUGAGUUGAAUAGUCAAAUAGAUGUUUUAGAUUAUUGGAGCAAAAGUUCAGUUCGAUACAAUGAGCUUUCAUUAUUGGCUCGUGAUCUUUUGGCAAUUCCAAUAUCGACUGUAGCUUCUGAAUCGGCUUUUAGCAUGGGUAAGAAAGUUAUCACACCUUUGAGGAGUUCGCUUAAGCCAAAAACGGUUCAAGCCGUUGUUUGCUUGGAUGAUUGGAUGCGAGCUAAGGGAUUUUCAGUAGGUAAUUAUUAUUCUCGUUUAUUGUUCGAAUUUUAUAUUAUUUUUUCAUCAAUUUGAUUAUCUAAUUAUUUAUUCUUAUUUCAUGUUAGAAAUUGGUUGCAAAAAGGACGAUGAGGACGAUGACGACGAUAAGAACGAUGAUGAUGAUGAUGUUUCUUCAAUAGCUUUUUCAGAUAAUUUCUUUCUAAAUGUUUAAAAUUUAAUUUAGCUUACAAUUUAUAUUUUGUUAUGAAAUUAAAUAUGUUGAUGGAUUAAUGUAUGAAUAUUAUGGUUUGUUGCUUAAUUUUCCAAAGUCAUUUUGGAGGUAUAUGUACUUGUGGGGUUGAACUUAUGUUUUCUUAUCUCAAACAUAGUUUGAAGCAAAAUUAGAGAUUGGGAUUUUCAAUGCUUGAUUUUGUUGUGAUUAUUAUGAUUAACAACAAACAUAUGGCUAAAACUUUGUACUAACAUUUAAACAGUGGCAUUCAAAUUUUUUUAGAUUUAUUCUGAUUAAUUAUCAUAUUCUUUCUUGAUAUGCUAUGCUAGAUUUGGACAUUCAUUUGAUACAUUCUAGUUGAUCUCUUUUUCAUCUAGUAACUUUGAUCUUUGGAUUAAAACUUUUAAAAAAGAAAAAAAGUUGAGCUUUACCAUUUUAAGUAUAGAGUAUAGAAUAAGAAGUUAAGAACUGACUCCAUAUUUUAAAAUUUAUAUAAUAAGUAUUUUUUGGCUACUUUUGUCUUACUUAUUAAAUUGAGUAUGGAACUAUGGAUCAAAGAUCAAUGAGAGUAAUAGUAUGGAUCAAUUUUGAUAUUGUUAUCCUUUAAAAGCAUAAAAAUGUAAUGAUAUGAUAAACUUUAAAANNNNNNNNNNNNNNNNNNNNNNNNNNNNNNNNNNNNNNNNNNNNNNNNNNNNNNNNNNNNNNNNNNNNNNNNNNNNNNNNNNNNNNNNNNNNNNNNNNNNAUUGUUUGUAAUUACUUGUAUAAUCAUUUUUUAUUUUUAAGAUUUGAUUGUUUGUAAUUAAAUUCAAAUUAAUUGUUUGUAAUUAAAUUCAAAUAAGUAAUCUUAUUUUAUUUUUUUGUUCAUUAUAUACAAAAAAAAUUACAAUUUGAUAUUUGAUAUAAAUUCAAUAACAAUUAAUUUUAAUAACAAUUAGUUUUAACUUUUAAGUCAAAAAAAAAACGGGCUGGGCCCGGGCUUCAUAUUUUUUUCACGGGCCGGGCCUGGGCAAAAUGUCAGGCCCAUAUUUCGGGUCGAGCCGGGCCCGGGCCUAAGAAAUGGGCUAAAAUUUUUUUAUGGGUCCGAACCCGGCCUGGCCCGGCCCAUGAGCACCUCUAGUGGGUCUCUCAUUGUGAUCAAAAUAUUUAUAUAUAACACUAUUGUUGGGAUCGACCUGAUUAAGCAACAAGUAAAAAAAAUAGCGGAAUAAAUUGAGAAAUUGAACACACAAAUUUAACGUGGAAAACCCCUUCCAAAGAGGAUAAAAAAAACCAUAGGCAAAUAUAAUUUUAUUAUAAUGGCAAAAGAACGAAGAGUACAAAAGAUGGAGAUAAAAACUAAACCCCGAAAACCCGAAAACAAAGAACCCUCAAAACAUAAACACAAAAUUCUCUAAAUGUGUUAUGAGUUCUAAUGUUGUAAAAGAGCCUAUUUAUAGGCUAAAUUCAUAGGUCAAAUAAUAAUAAAAUAAUCUAGACUAAUCAGAGUUUGAUUGAAACAAAUAAACAGAGUUUAACAGGAAGAUUAUUUUUCAAAUUUGACUGAAAUAGGAGUCAUACUCAACAACUAUCAAUUAGAGACCUUAAAAGCUCACACUUUAUGCAUGACCUUUGAGCUAUGUAGAAAGGUAAUUCCUCUAAAUGCCAUUGUUUUUUUUUUAUCGGAUAAGCUUUAUGCUUUAUUAGCUUUAGCUUAGGCACAUGCCGUGCGUGUUGGAGUUAGAGGUGAGCGUUCAAUUGAGUCGAAUCGAAUGAAAAAUUUUCAAGUUUAUCGAGCUGACAAAUUCUAUAUAUCAUCCUAACUCAAUUUGAAAUUUUCUCGAAUUGAGUUGAGUGAGAUGAAAUUUGAAUUGAAUGGAAUUGAAUAUAUUUGUUCGAGUUAAAUUAAAAAAAAUGAUUUUGGGUCCUUGUAACACACCACCCACCGUAAUCAAAUUUGUUAUUAACUUUUAUCCCCUCAUAAUUUAUUUGCUAAUCUUUUAUGUACGAUUUGGCUUCUUUGUUUGCUUAUUUGUUUCAAUUAUUUUCUUAUUCUUAUCACCAUGUAUUUUGAAAUUAAAAAAUAUAUUAAAUAUAAAAAAUAUAAUUUUUUAAUAAAAUUAUUUUAAAGAUAAAAUGUGAAAUUGAUACCAACAUAAAAUUUUAACACAAAUAUUUUAUAGCAUCAUUAAUAAUUCAAUUGCAACAAAAUUUGAUAAAGAUUCAACAUGAUUAAAAAAUUCAAUAAUAUAAAUAGUACAAAAUGUGAAAUUUAAUUUAAUAAUAUAAAUAGUAGAAAUAAAUUUGAAAAAAAAAUUUGGGGUUUGGAAAGAAGUAAAAAUUUUGGAAGAAAGCAAAAGGAAAACAGUUUUGGAGAGUUUUGGGGAAGUAAAAGGAAAAAAAAAUUUGGGCAAAAUAAAAUUUUUGUGGCGGAAGUAAAAGUUUUUGGAAAAAAGUGAAGGAAAAAAAAAUUUAAGGGUUUCGAAAAGUACAAUUUUAGGGGAGAAAGUAAAAUGGUUUGAGAGAUAGAGAGAAGAAUUUUGUAUUUGGUUUAUUUGAAUUAUUUAAAUUAUUCGAAUUUAAAAAUUCAAUUCGAAUAAUUUGAAUUCUUUUCCGAGCCAGGCUAAUGCUUUUGACUGAAAAUACAUGGUGAUGGUGUAAUUCUUAGGAAUAUUAGUAAACAUAUUUUGAUGGGUACCGGCUACCGACUACGGGCCAUGGACAAAGUGAGGUCGUUGCUAAUAGGAUUGUUGGCUUGUAGCUGAGCUGGACACAGUUGCAAGUAAAGGAUCUUCCUUUACUAAUUUUGGCAUGAUUUAGAUACAUGUGAAAAAAAAAAUGUUUGAAAUUAAAUAAAUGCAAUGAAUGUGUUAAAAUAAGACAGGGGAUUGUCUAAAAAUGUGCCAAAAUUAAGGAGCCGCUGAGACAAACAUCAUCUAUAAAUAGGGGCUCAUGCAACGUCUCUUGACCACCAUAACAAGCUUCGAGAGAUCGUAAUUACAGAGAGAUAAAAGACUGAUCGAGAUGGAAAUAGUUCAAGUUCUUCAUAUGAAUGGAGGAGUUGGAGAAACCAGUUAUGCAAAAAACUCUUUACUUCAGGUAUGUAUGUAUGUAUGUAUGUAUGUAUGUAUGUAUGUAUGCUGUGAUUUUUUAACCUGAAAUAUCUUGGACAGCAAAAGGUGAUAACCAUGACAAAGCCAAUCACAGAGGACGCAAUAACUAAGCUCUAUUGCAGCAAAUAUCCGGAAGAAAUAGCCAUUGCAGAUUUGGGUUGUUCUUCGGGACCUAAUACUUUCUUUUUGGUAUCUGAACUUCUCAAAGUGGUGGAUAGUGUUCGCCAAAAGAUAGGCCAAAAAUCCCCCGAGUAUCAAGUGUUUCUGAAUGAUCUUCCUGGGAAUGAUUUCAACACCAUUUUCAGGUCCUUGUCCAUCUUCCAAAACAAACUGAGGAAGCAACUUGGACCCGACAGCGGACCAUGUUUUUUCACGGGAGUACCUGGUUCUUUCUACGGAAGGCUUUUCAGGAAAAACAGCCUUCAUUUCGUACACUCUUCCUAUAGUCU
This 25802-nucleotide long non-coding RNA is filed under the name Gossypium raimondii (Peruvian cotton). RNAcentral's name for it is "long non-coding RNA (GRAI_LNC006194)". The stretch from base 12534 to 12620 matches the Rfam family "MIR7486 microRNA precursor family". The record is from RNAcentral. Lineage: Eukaryota; Viridiplantae; Streptophyta; Magnoliopsida; Malvales; Malvaceae.